GUCCCUUCGGGGACAUCCGAUAAAAUUGAAACGAUACAGAGAAGAUUAGCAUGGCACCUGCGCAUGGAUGACACACACAAGCGCUGGAUUCCGGCUCCGUAA
Triticum aestivum (bread wheat) is the source of this 102-nucleotide non-coding RNA. NCBI's taxonomy places the organism in Eukaryota, Viridiplantae, Streptophyta, Magnoliopsida, Poales, Poaceae. The record is from Rfam.